RNAcentral lists this transfer RNA (31 nucleotides) under Serapias lingua. RNAcentral's name for it is "partial tRNA-Gly". RNAcentral also lists the same sequence under 15 other names. Lineage: Eukaryota; Viridiplantae; Streptophyta; Magnoliopsida; Asparagales; Orchidaceae. The record is from RNAcentral.
GUAGCGGGUAUAGUUUAGUGGUAAAAGUGUG